AUCACUUCUCGGUCUUUUGGCUAAGAUCAAGUGUAGUAUCUGUUCAUUUACAUAUAUAUAUAUUAUUGGAAAUGCAGAUAUACAGAGAGGAGAAGAGACAGAGAGGAAGAUCUUCCAUCCAAUGGUUCACUCCCCAAGAGGCCACAACAGCUGGAGCUGAGUCAAUCUGAA
This 171-nucleotide small nuclear RNA is filed under the name Ochotona princeps (American pika). RNAcentral describes it as "U2 spliceosomal RNA (ENSOPRG00000022645.1)". It matches the Rfam family "U2 spliceosomal RNA". From Rfam's summary of the family: U2 is a small nuclear RNA (snRNA) component of the spliceosome (involved in pre-mRNA splicing). Complementary binding between U2 snRNA (in an area lying towards the 5' end but 3' to hairpin I) and the branchpoint sequence (BPS) of the intron results the bulging out of an unpaired adenosine, on the BPS, which initiates a nucleophilic attack at the intronic 5' splice site, thus starting the first of two transesterification reactions that mediate splicing. The record is from RNAcentral. Lineage: Eukaryota; Metazoa; Chordata; Mammalia; Lagomorpha; Ochotonidae.